This 27-nucleotide non-coding RNA is filed under the name Rattus norvegicus (Norway rat). The record is from RNAcentral. Lineage: Eukaryota; Metazoa; Chordata; Mammalia; Rodentia; Muridae.
UGUUUCUUCCAUGAAUUAAUUGUAGGA